Lacerta agilis (Sand lizard) is the source of this 366-nucleotide long non-coding RNA. RefSeq lists it as uncharacterized. The transcript has 3 exons. The record is from RefSeq and is a predicted model, not a curated record. NCBI's taxonomy places the organism in Eukaryota, Metazoa, Chordata, Lepidosauria, Squamata, Lacertidae.
GGGGACCGCGGAAGCCAAGCCAGGGACCUCCACCCCGGCCCCUGGGCCCUGUCGAGGGGCUGCCCUGGAGGGCUGCCAGCAGGAGGCCGGCCUACUCAUUGGAGCCCCUCAGCCCCACAUGCCUGUGAAAGUAGAAUGUGAGCAGUUUGCUAUUCCUGGUUCAGCAGGUGUCCUCCAUGUCUGGGCCAAAGAGGGAAUCUGGGGGAAGUGUUCAGCUCUCAGCGCCGAGAAGGAAGAGGCGAGUGGGAACCUGAAGGCUGAGAAGAUGGAGACGGGCCCUCGCUCUGCCGGUGCCACCUGGGUGACCCACUGAGGUCUCUCGGGUUGGAAGGAUGCCGCCUGCCGCUUCCAGGGGGACCUUGCAGA